AAUGUUUAUAAGUAUGCAAUAGUAAUGGGCGAUAGAAACAAUAUGCAAUAUAAAUAUACAAAAUUGGCCUA
This is a long non-coding RNA of Etheostoma spectabile (orangethroat darter), 71 nucleotides long. RefSeq lists it as uncharacterized. The transcript has 3 exons. The record is from RefSeq and is a predicted model, not a curated record. NCBI's taxonomy places the organism in Eukaryota, Metazoa, Chordata, Actinopteri, Perciformes, Percidae.